This 324-nucleotide ribosomal RNA is filed under the name uncultured eukaryote. Its description in RNAcentral is "partial 18S ribosomal RNA". It matches the Rfam family "Eukaryotic small subunit ribosomal RNA", at positions 1470 to 1796 of the family's 1831-position model. The record is from RNAcentral.
CCCUUAGAUGUUCUGGGCUGCACGCGCGCUACACUGAAGCUAUCAACACGUUUUCCCUCCCUGAGAAGGGCGGGUAACCUUUUGAAUCAGCUUCGUGGUAGGGAUCGGGGCUUGCAAUUGUUCCCCGUGAACCAGGAAUUCCUAGUAGACGCGAGUCAUAAGCUCGCAUCGAUUAAGUCCCUGCCCUUUGUACACACCGCCCGUCGCUACUACCGAUUGAACGUCUUAGUGAGGCAUUUGGACCGACGCAUCUCAGUUUAACCGCUGGUUUGUGUUGGAAAGACUUCCAGACUUGAGCGUUUAGAGGAAGUAAAAGUCGUAACA